UUUCCUCUAAGGCCAGGAACAAGACAGGGGUGUCUACUCUCACCAUUACUAUUUAACACUGGAAAUCUUAGCCUCAGCAGCUGGACAACAAAAGGAAAUAAAGGGCAUCCAAAUCAGGAUUAAAAAAUCAAACUUUCACUAUUUGCAGGUGACAUGCUACUCUAUAUAGAAAACCUGAAAGGCUCCACCAAAAACCUGCUAGAACAGAUGUU
Long non-coding RNA from Lutra lutra (Eurasian river otter), 212 nucleotides. RefSeq lists it as uncharacterized. The record is from RefSeq and is a predicted model, not a curated record. Lineage: Eukaryota; Metazoa; Chordata; Mammalia; Carnivora; Mustelidae. The transcript has 2 exons.